GAUGAAGAACGCAGUGAAAUGCGAUAAGUAAUGUGAAUUGCAGAAUUCAGUGAAUCAUCGAGUCUUUGAACGCACAUUGCGCCCCCUGGUAUUCCGGGGGGCAUGCCUGUCCGAGCGUCAUUGCUGCCCUCAAGCACGGCUUGUGUGUUGGGCCCCCGUCCCCGGUUUCCCCCGGGGACGGGCCCGAAAGGUAGCGGCGGCACCGCGUCCGGUCCUCGAGCGUAUGGGGCUUUGUCACCCGCUCUGUAGGCCCGGCCGGCGCCAGCCGACACCCAACUUUAUUUCUAAGGUUGACCUCGGAUCAGGUAGGGAUACCCGCUGAACUUAAGCAUAUCAAUAAGCGGAGGA
Molecule: unclassified non-coding RNA, 348 nt
Filed under: soil metagenome
Description: partial contains 5.8S ribosomal RNA, internal transcribed spacer 2, and large subunit ribosomal RNA
Rfam family: 5.8S ribosomal RNA (bases 1-120)
Source: RNAcentral